GACGAACGCUGGCGGCGUGCUUAAUACAUGCAAGUCGAACGGAAAGGCCCUGCUUUUGUGGGGUGCUCGAGUGGCGAACGGGUGAGUAACACGUGAGUAACCUGCCCUUGACUUUGGGAUAACUUCAGGAAACUGGGGCUAAUACCGGAUAGGAGCUCCUGCUGCAUGGUGGGGGUUGGAAAGUUUCGGCGGUCGGGGAUGGACUCGCGGCUUAUCAGCUUGUUGGUGGGGUAGUGGCUUACCAAGGCUUUGACGGGUAGCCGGCCUGAGAGGGUGACCGGCCACAUUGGGACUGAGAUACGGCCCAGACUCCUACGGGAGGCAGCAGUGGGGAAUAUUGCACAAUGGGCGGAAGCCUGAUGCAGCAACGCCGCGUGCGGGAUGACGGCCUUCGGGUUGUAAACCGCUUUCGCCUGUGACGAAGCGUGAGUGACGGUAAUGGGUAAAGAAGCACCGGCUAACUACGUG
RNAcentral lists this ribosomal RNA (468 nucleotides) under uncultured bacterium. RNAcentral's name for it is "partial 16S ribosomal RNA". It matches the Rfam family "Bacterial small subunit ribosomal RNA", at positions 28 to 507 of the family's 1533-position model. The record is from RNAcentral.